Molecule: ribosomal RNA, 812 nt
Filed under: Bacillus subtilis
Lineage: Bacteria; Bacillati; Bacillota; Bacilli; Caryophanales; Bacillaceae
Description: bacterial SSU rRNA
Rfam family: Bacterial small subunit ribosomal RNA
Source: RNAcentral
UAAUACCGGAUGGUUGUUUGAACCGCAUGUUCAAACAUAAUAGGUGGCUUCGGCUACCACUUACAGAAGGACCCGCGCCGCAUUAGCUAGUUGGUGAGGUAAGGCUCACCAAGGCAACGAUGGUAGCCGACCUGAGAGGGUGAUCGGCCACACUGGGACUGAGACACGGCCCAGACUCCUACGGGAGGCAGCAGUAGGGAAUCUUCCGCAAUGGACGAAAGUCUGACGGAGCAACGCCGCGUGAGUGAUGAAGGUUUUCGGAUCGUAAAGCUCUGUUGUUAGGGAAGAACAAGUACCGUUCGAAUAGGGCGGUACCUUGACGGUACCUAACCAGAAAGCCACGGCUAACUACGUGCCAGCAGCCGCGGUAAUACGUAGGUGGCAAGCGUUGUCCGGAAUUAUUGGGCGUAAAGGGCUCGCAGGCGGUUUCUUAAGUCUGAUGUGUAAGCCCCGGCUCAACCGGGGAGGGUCAUUGGAAACUGGGGAACUUGAGUGCAGAAGAGGAGAGUGGAAUUCCACGUGUAGCGGUGAAAUGCGUAGAGAUGUGGAGGAACACCAGUGGCGAAGGCGACUCUCUGGUCUGUAACUGACGCUGAGCAGCGAAAGCGUGGGAGCGAACAGGAUUAGAUACCCUGGUAGUCCACGCCGUAAACGAUGAGUGCUAAGUGUUAGGGGGUUUCCGCCCCUUAGUGCUGCAGCUAACGCAUUAAGCACUCCGCCUGGGGGAGUACGGUCGCAAGACUGAAACUCAAGGAAUUGACGGGGGGCCGCACAAGCGGUGGGAGCAUGUGGUAUUAUUCGAAGCAACGCCG